GAGAAUCAAGGAAUUUACGCCGACAUUACUCUCCAGUCGAUAUAAAUUCCACAAACUUUAAAAGAAACAUAAGAGUUACAGAAGAGGUGGCAAGGAGAGAGGCCUCUGUGGGUACGCAAUGUCACCUGCGGAUGGUGAUGUCUCAGAAAGCCUCUCUGAUAUUGACGAUGCAGAGGUUGUUGGCUACCUUAACAGCAAGCAGGCGGCACUGUUUAAAAGAAUGAUUUGGGAAGCAAUGAACAAGGACUAUGAUAAGCAUUGAGUCUUAUGUAUUGAUCUCUAUAUGCAACUAUAAAAUUGGCAGGG
This is a non-coding RNA of Prunus mume (Japanese apricot), 306 nucleotides long. NCBI's taxonomy places the organism in Eukaryota, Viridiplantae, Streptophyta, Magnoliopsida, Rosales, Rosaceae. The record is from RefSeq and is a predicted model, not a curated record.